AUUGAACGCUGGCGGCGGGCCUAACACAUGCAAGUCGAGCGGACGAACGGGGCUCUCUCCUGUCUUACGCGACGGGCGGGUGGGUGAUGCCUAGGAGUCUACCUUGUCGUGGGGGCUAACGUAAGGUCGCGGGCGCGGAUACAGCAUACGUCCUGAUGUUGAACGUGAGGGAUCAUUGGACAACAAGCGAUCUGAUGAGCCUUGGUCGGAUUAGCUAGUUGGUGGGGUAAAGGCCUACCAAGGCGACGAUCCGUAACUGCGCUGAGAGGCUGAUCAGUCACACUGGAACUGAGACACGGUCCAGACUCCUACGGGAGGCAGCAGUGGGGAAUAUUCGACAAUGGGCGAAAGCCUGACGCAGCCAUGCCGCGUGUGUGAUGAAGGUCUUCGGAUUGUAAAGCACUGUAAGUUGGGAGGAAGGACAGUAAGUUUAUAUCUGGCUGUUUUGACGUUACCAACAGAAAAAGCAACGGCUAACUUCGUG
RNAcentral lists this ribosomal RNA (484 nucleotides) under uncultured bacterium. Its description in RNAcentral is "partial 16S ribosomal RNA". It matches the Rfam family "Bacterial small subunit ribosomal RNA", at positions 30 to 507 of the family's 1533-position model. The record is from RNAcentral.